CCUACGGGUGGCAGCAGUGAGGAAUAUUGGUCAAUGGACGAGAGUCUGAACCAGCCAAGUCGCGUGCAGGAUGACUGCCCUAUGGGUUGUAAACUUCUUUUAUAUGGGAAUAAAAUGUUCCACGUGUGGGAUUUUGUAUGUACCAUAUGAAUAAGGAUCGGCUAACUCCGUGCCAGCAGCCGCGGUAAUACGGAGGAUCCGAGCGUUAUCCGGAUUUAUUGGGUUUAAAGGGUGCGUAGAUGGGUUGUUAAGUCAGUUGUGAAAGGUUGCGGCUCAACCGUAAAAUUGCAAUUGAUACUGGCAGUCUUGAGUACAGUUGAGGUAGGCGGAAUUCGUGGUGUAGCGGUGAAAUGCUUAGAUAUCACGAAGAACCCCGAUUGCGAAGGCAGCUUACUAAACUGUGACUGACAUUGAUGCUCGAAAGUGUGGGUAGCAAACAGGAUUAGAUACCCUUGUAGUC
Molecule: ribosomal RNA, 460 nt
Filed under: uncultured bacterium
Lineage: Bacteria
Description: partial 16S ribosomal RNA
Rfam family: Bacterial small subunit ribosomal RNA
Source: RNAcentral